CUGCUGCGGGCUGAUCCAGUGGAUGUGGGCGUCGAUGCCGCCGGCAGUGAGGAUGCGGCCCUCGCCGGCGAUGGCUUCGGUGCCGGGGCCGAUGACGAUGUCCACAUCCGGCUGCACGUCCGGAUUGCCGGCCUUGCCGAUAGCCGCGAUGCGCCCAUCCAGGAUGCCGAUAUCGGCCUUGACGAUGCCCCAAUGAUCGACGAUCAGGGCGUUGGUGAUGACCGUGUCGACGGCGCCGCCGGCGCGGCUGAUCUGGCUUUGGCCCAUGCCGUCGCG
This 276-nucleotide small RNA is filed under the name marine eukaryotic metagenome. RNAcentral describes it as "5' ureB small RNA". It matches the Rfam family "5' ureB small RNA". The record is from RNAcentral.